UGUUUUUUUCUUUUAGAUUGUGUGCACUCAGUCCAGUUAUCCUUGUGCUCUGCAGGGCUCCUGACUUUCAUGUACUCUGCCAAGUCAUUCAUCUCCUGCUGAUACCCUUGAAAUCACCCUUUAUUUUUCAGAAGAUUAUUCUUAGAUGUUCAGAAAGCUUCUUACUUACUUAAAGCAUGUGGAGUUUGGCAAGGCUGGUCAGUGGAAAGUCUCUCGUGGCCUACAAAUAAAAUUUCCUCAGUAUUUUGUUCCUGGAACUGUAGUCUAGAUUGGUGGUUCUCAACCAGGGGUACGUGUACCCAGAGGUCUUCCAGGGGGUACAUCGACUCAUCUAGAUAUUUGCCUAGUUUUACAACAGGCUACGUUAAAAGCACUAACGAAGUCAGUACAAACUAAAAUUUCAUACAGACAAUGACUUGCUUAUGCUGCUCUAUAUACUAUCCACUGAAAUGUAAGUACAAGAUUUAUAUUCCAAUUGAUUUAUUUUAUAAUUUAUAGGUAAAAGUGAGAAAAUAAGCAAUUUUUCAGUAAUAUUAUGCUGUGACACUUUUUUGUAUUUUUAUGUCUGGUUUUUGUAAACAGGUAGUUUUUAAGUGAGGUGAAACUUGGAGGGGUGCGCAAGACAAAUCAGACUCCUGAAAGGGGUAUAAUAGUCUGGAAAGGUUGAGAGCCGCUAGUCUAGAUCUAACUCAAGCCUUCAGAUGAGUGGAAGGUACCAAUUUCAGUUGAAUUUCUACUAUAAAAUACUAUUAAUUAGGGCUGUUGAUUAAUCACAGUUAACUCACAUGAUUAACUCAAAAAAAUUGUGAUCAAUUGCAGUUUUAAUCACGUUAUUAAACAAUAGAAUGCCAGUUGACUGAGUGUACUUGUAGGCGCUAAAGUUUUUUGCAUUGUUUUGUUUUUGAGUGCAGUUGUGACAAAAAAAUCUAAAUUUCUGAGUUGCACUUUCACGAUAGAUUGCACUACAGUACUUGUAUGAGGUGAAUUGAAAAAUACUGUUUAUCAUUUUUACAGUGCAAAUAUUUGUAGUAAAAAAUAAUAAAGUGAGCAGUGUACACUUUGUAUUCUGUGUU
This 1073-nucleotide long non-coding RNA is filed under the name Chrysemys picta bellii (western painted turtle). Its description in RNAcentral is "lncRNA (ENSCPBG00000011170.1)". The record is from RNAcentral. Lineage: Eukaryota; Metazoa; Chordata; Testudines; Emydidae.